Long non-coding RNA from Mastomys coucha (southern multimammate mouse), 338 nucleotides. RefSeq lists it as uncharacterized. The record is from RefSeq and is a predicted model, not a curated record. The transcript is spliced from 2 exons. Lineage: Eukaryota; Metazoa; Chordata; Mammalia; Rodentia; Muridae.
CACACACACACACACACACACACACACGCACACGCACACGCACACGCACACGCACACACGCACGCACACGCACAUUUUAAGAAACGAAGACCAGAAUAAUCAAAUCAACAUGGCGUUCUACUCCCAACUUCACUAGGCCGAAUGUGUGUCAGCUCCGUUGUGAAAUCCACUUCAACUCUGUUUUCCUCCUUUCAGUAGUGACAUGGAGGAAGUUGAAGCUUGCUGAAUCUUUAAUCUGGAGUUAAAGCAUAAGACAGUCAGCAGAGACUACAGAAUGGGAGAAAGCCUUUGGCCACCAGACUUACUGUGAGAAUCUAUAAACAACUCUAAAAAGGAAA